GAUGAACGCUGGCUACAGGCUUAACACAUGCAAGUCGAGGGGAAACGCCGGGGUAGCUUGCUUUCCCGGGCGUCGACCGGCGCACGGGUGAGUAACGCGUAUCCAACCUGCCUCUGACUUAGGGAUAACCCGCCGAAAGUCGUCCUAAUACCUCAUUGCUUCUUCUGCGUGCAUCCUACGACAAUUAGAGAUUUCAUCGUGCACGGGUGGGGUGUCGGCUGAUUGGCUUGUUGGCGGCUUAACGGCCCACCAACGCUUCGCUCAGCAGGGGUUCUGAGAGGAAGGUCCCCGACAUUGGAACUGGGAAACGGUCCAAACUCCUACGGGAGGCAGCAGUAAGGGAUACUGGAGAGUGGGCGGGAGCCUGAACCAGCCAAGUAGCGUGCAGGAUGACGGCGCUAGGGGUGGUAGACUGCGUUUAUGCGGGGACAAAGUGAGGGACGUGUCCUUCAUUGAAGGUACCGGAUGAAUAAGGACCGGCUAAUUACGUG
This 491-nucleotide ribosomal RNA is filed under the name uncultured bacterium. Its description in RNAcentral is "partial 16S ribosomal RNA". It matches the Rfam family "Bacterial small subunit ribosomal RNA", at positions 28 to 507 of the family's 1533-position model. The record is from RNAcentral.